UACAGGAAUCUACAGGUUGGAGAUUCGAUACGAACAGACAAAGACAAUCAAGAUAUCUGAGACGAGCAUCCGUCCAUUGGAAGAAGUUCAUUAACAUGUUCAAGCCUCAGUGAAGAAUAAAGUUCAAUAUGUUUCUGCUAUCAAGAUUGUCUGAAGAUCAAGUAUCAAAGACCAGAAGAUUCCAGUAUAUUUAAUUUGAUUAUUUAUAAUCAAAUUUAUCGAAGCAACAUCU
Molecule: long non-coding RNA, 232 nt
Filed under: Daucus carota (carrot)
Lineage: Eukaryota; Viridiplantae; Streptophyta; Magnoliopsida; Apiales; Apiaceae
Description: long non-coding RNA (DCAR_LNC007602)
Source: RNAcentral